GAUGAACGCUAGCGGCAGGCCUAACACAUGCAAGUCGAGGGGUAGAGUUAGCUUGCUAACUUGAGACCGGCGCACGGGUGCGUAACGCGUAUGCAAUCUACCUUGUAGAGGGGGAUAGCCCAGAGAAAUUUGGAUUAAUACCCCAUAGUAUAAUAGAGUGGCAUCAUUUUAUUAUUAAAGUUCCAACGCUACAAGAUGAGCAUGCGUCCCAUUAGUUAGUUGGUGUGGUAACGGCGCACCAAGACGAUGAUGGGUAGGGGUCCUGAGAGGGAGAUCCCCCACACUGGUACUGAGACACGGACCAGACUCCUACGGGAGGCAGCAGUGGGGAAUAUUGGACAAUGGGGGCAACCCUGAUCCAGCCAUGCCGCGU
RNAcentral lists this ribosomal RNA (373 nucleotides) under uncultured bacterium. RNAcentral describes it as "bacterial SSU rRNA". It matches the Rfam family "Bacterial small subunit ribosomal RNA", at positions 28 to 402 of the family's 1533-position model. The record is from RNAcentral.